Molecule: long non-coding RNA, 243 nt
Filed under: Elaeis guineensis (African oil palm)
Lineage: Eukaryota; Viridiplantae; Streptophyta; Magnoliopsida; Arecales; Arecaceae
Description: long non-coding RNA (EGUI_LNC065835)
Source: RNAcentral
CUCGGACCUUCUAAAAAUUUUUGCAACCUCUCCCUUCAACUGACCAAUCUCCUCAGCUGUCCCAUACUGUCGUUUCAUGAAAAUAUUUAUAUUUUCGGACAAGACACGCAUCUGAUGCAUGAAAGAGUCAUUUGCCCCUCAAAAGAAAUAGUCAUCUCCUCCAAACUCUGAAAGAUAUACUGUCGAAGAUCUGAAUGGUCAAUCUUCUGAACCGCAAUAGUCCCAUGGUCCACAACUCUCUCC